Long non-coding RNA from Harmonia axyridis, 1633 nucleotides. RefSeq lists it as uncharacterized. The transcript has 3 exons. NCBI's taxonomy places the organism in Eukaryota, Metazoa, Arthropoda, Insecta, Coleoptera, Coccinellidae. The record is from RefSeq and is a predicted model, not a curated record.
UACGUUACUGUGGAAAUGAUCGCAAUAUGGCGAAUAAGAUGCAUCUUAAUUGCGAAACACUAAAACGAUUAUACCACUUCGCCAAGUUUCACUCAUCAAAACGCGCGGAUUUUAUUGUUUCAUUAAAACAUGAGUUUUAUCACUGAAUAUUCAUUGAUUCAUCUCCGAAUAUUCGUUGAUAAUCAAUGAAUACUCAUUGAAUUUUCAACGAAUAGUUGAAUAUUCAUGAAUAAUCAAGCAUGAAUAUUUGUUUGAAUGAAUUAUUCGAAUAAAUUUAAGAAUAAAUAUUCCAAUACAAAAAGGUGAAAAAGUCCCAGCCCUAGUCUAUAAUUCAUUAUCUCAAGAGGAUCAUUUCUCUUAAAGAUAGGAACUAAUAUUGCAACCUUCAGUAAUUCGGGAAAAACGCCACAAGAUACUGAAAGAUUGACCAGAUAUUUGAUCAACACAUGAACUUACUUUAUUUUUCAAUGAUCUAAUAAUAUCCACUAUCUCUGUGUCUACUAUUGGCAUAAAGAAGAAAGUAUUAUCCUCUAUUUGAGGUGAAGUAUAUGAUUCAGAUAUUGCAUUACCAUAAUGAUUAUUUAAACUAAUAUUAUUAAUAGUUGAAAAGUACUCAACAAAUGCUUCCGCUAUUGCUUUAGAAUCAUGGCAAACAAUACCAUUUAUUCUGAGCUUUGUAAUAGCAUUUGUAUUCGCCAAUCUUCCAGUCUUGCGACAAGAUUCCAUACCGUUUUAUUUUUAUUAGAUGAAUUAUUGAUUCGUUUUUGAUAAUAUUCUAGUUUAGUUUGCUUCAAAAGAUAAUUGUAGGAGUUUUUCAUUUUUUGUACUUAUCUAAAGUAGUCUCUGAAGGCAGGUUAGUGCACAACCAAUGAAGAUCCUUCAAUUCACGACUUGCCAACUUUAUUUCUAGUGUAAUCCAUCCAUGAGACAGUUUUGGAUGGGUUACAGAUCUCAACGGACAACAUUCAUCAAUAAGGUCGCUAAUCACCUCAACAAAACACUCAAAACCACUAUUAAUGUCUGCACACCUAUACAUAUACAUACUAUAUUGGAUUUGUUACAUGUGCGUGGCUCCCUCAUCCAAAAUUUCAACAAGAGAGCUUUGUGGUCGCUGAAAUGAGUCUCCAGUAUUUCAUUCUCCAGCUCAUCAAGAUUCAAGUUUGUUAUGAUAUAGUCUAUUUGUGAUGUUGUAGUCUUACCCUUAAGGUUUGUAAACACACGUGUAGGUCCCCCUGAAUCUACCUUGAGCCAGUAGGAGUCCAACAAAUCCAAAAGAAGUUGCUUCUGGAGAGAACUCUUGAUAAAAUCCAAAUUAAGAUCACCGCACACAAAUGUAAUGUCUUUUUCAUUAUUGCAUCGGCUAUAAGCAGGCUGCUACUUUUUGUCGACAAGCACACAAACAUGGUGGAACAAUGAUUUACACAAAAUCUGAUAUAGAAUCAGAAGAACUGAAAGUUACGGACUUAUCAGUCGAGUUGCAGUGCAAGUUCUGAGCAAUUUCCAUAAUUUUUUCCUAAUUGACAAAAUGGACAUCAAUACUGGUAUCAUUAUUGGAAGAAAGAGUGGAAUAUAAACUGCAUAUCUGAAAAAAAAAUAAAGUUUGCCAGAACACUACCAGAUUGAUACUAGAAUA